CAAUAGCGUAUAUUUAAGUUGCUGCAGUUAAAAAGCUCGUAGUUGGAUUUCGGGUGGGAAUGGCCGGUCCGCCGUUUCGGUGUGCACUUGCUACGCCCACCUUGCUGCCGGGGACGUGCUCUUGAGUUCACGCUCGGGACACGGAGUCGGCGAGGUUACUUUGAGUAAAUUAGAGUGUUCAAAGCAGGCCUACGCUCUAAAUACAUUAGCAUGGAAUAACACGAUAGGACUCUGGCCUAUCUUGUUGGUCUGUAGGACCGGAGUAAUGAUUAAGAGGGACAGUCGGGGGCAUUCGUAUUUCAUUGUCAGAGGUGAAAUUCUUGGAUUUAUGAAAGACGAACUACUGCGAAAGCAUUUGCCAAGGAUGUUUUCAUUAA
This 377-nucleotide ribosomal RNA is filed under the name uncultured eukaryote. Its description in RNAcentral is "partial 18S ribosomal RNA". It matches the Rfam family "Eukaryotic small subunit ribosomal RNA", at positions 592 to 976 of the family's 1831-position model. The record is from RNAcentral.